Molecule: ribosomal RNA, 329 nt
Filed under: uncultured bacterium
Lineage: Bacteria
Description: bacterial SSU rRNA
Rfam family: Bacterial small subunit ribosomal RNA
Source: RNAcentral
GACGAACGCUGGCGGCGUGCUUAACACAUGCAAGUCGAGCGGUAAGGCCCUUUCGGGGGUACACGAGCGGCGAACGGGUGAGUAACACGUGGGUGACCUGCCCUUAGCUCUGGGAUAAGCCUGGGAAACUGGGUCUAAUACCGGAUAUGACUCCAUGACGCAUGUUGUGGGGUGGAAAGCCUUGUGCGGCUAGGGAUGGGCCUGCGGCCUAUCAGCUUGUUGGUGGGGUGAUGGCCUACCAAGGCGACGACGGGUAGCCGGCCUGAGAGGGCGACCGGCCACACUGGGGACUGAGACACGGCCCAGACUCCUACGGGAGGCAGCAGUGG